GGCAGCAGUGGGGAAUAUUGCACAAUGGGCGCAAGCCUGAUGCAGCCAUGCCGCGUGUGUGAAGAAGGCCUUCGGGUUGUAAAGCACUUUCAGCGGGGAGGAAGGCGAUAAGGUUAAUAACCUUGUCGAUUGACGUUACCCGCAGAAGAAGCACCGGCUAACUCCGUGCCAGCAGCCGCGGUAAUACGGAGGGUGCAAGCGUUAAUCGGAAUUACUGGGCGUAAAGCGCACGC
This 233-nucleotide ribosomal RNA is filed under the name Klebsiella pneumoniae. RNAcentral's name for it is "partial 16S ribosomal RNA". It matches the Rfam family "Bacterial small subunit ribosomal RNA", at positions 347 to 572 of the family's 1533-position model. The record is from RNAcentral. Lineage: Bacteria; Pseudomonadati; Pseudomonadota; Gammaproteobacteria; Enterobacterales; Enterobacteriaceae.